ACGCACGCUGGCGGCGUGCUUAACACAUGCAAGUCGAACGGUGAAGGGACCGGUUUUUGCUGGUUCUGGAUGAGUGGCGAACGGGUGAGUAACACGUGAGUAACCUGCCCCCUUCUUCUGGAUAACCGCAUGAAAGUGUGGCUAAUACGGGAUAUUCUGCGCCUGCUGCAUGGUGGGUGUGGGAAAGAUAUUGUUUCGGUGGGGGAUGGGCUCGCGGCCUAUCAGCUUGUUGGUGGGGUGAGGGCCUACCAAGGCGGUGACGGGUAGCCGGCCUGAGAGGGUGGACGGUCACACUGGGACUGAGACACGGCCCAGACUCCUACGGGAGGCAGCAGUGGGGAAUAUUGCACAAUGGGCGCAAGCCUGAUGCAGCGACGCCGCGUGAGGGAUGGAGGCCUUCGGGUUGUAAACCUCUUUCGCCAGUGAAGCAGGCCUGUCCCUUUUGUGGGUGGGUUGACGGUAGCUGGAUAAGAAGCGCCGGCUAACUACGUG
RNAcentral lists this ribosomal RNA (492 nucleotides) under uncultured bacterium. RNAcentral describes it as "partial 16S ribosomal RNA". It matches the Rfam family "Bacterial small subunit ribosomal RNA", at positions 29 to 507 of the family's 1533-position model. The record is from RNAcentral.